GACGAACGCUGGCGGCGUGCCUAAUACAUGCAAGUAGAACGCUGAAGGAGGAGCUUGCUCUUCUGGAUGAGUUGCGAACGGGUGAGUAACGCGUAGGUAACCUGCCUGGUAGCGGGGGAUAACUAUUGGAAACGAUAGCUAAUACCGCAUAAUAGCAGUUGUUGCAUGACAGCUGUUUGAAAGGUGCAAUUGCAUCACUACCAGAUGGACCUGCGUUGUAUUAGCUAGUUGGUGGGGUAACGGCUCACCAAGGCGACGAUACAUAGCCGACCUGAGAGGGUGAUCGGCCACACUGGGACUGAGACACGGCCCAGACUCCUACGGGAGGCAGCAGUAGGGAAUCUUCGGCAAUGGACGGAAGUCUGACCGAGCAACGCCGCGUGAGUGAAGAAGGUUUUCGGAUCGUAAAGCUCUGUUGUAAGAGAAGAACGAGUGUGAGAGGGAAAGUUCACGC
Molecule: ribosomal RNA, 454 nt
Filed under: Streptococcus mitis
Lineage: Bacteria; Bacillati; Bacillota; Bacilli; Lactobacillales; Streptococcaceae
Description: bacterial SSU rRNA
Rfam family: Bacterial small subunit ribosomal RNA
Source: RNAcentral